This 62-nucleotide ribosomal RNA is filed under the name Clostridium perfringens. RNAcentral describes it as "partial 16S ribosomal RNA". It matches the Rfam family "Bacterial small subunit ribosomal RNA", at positions 1 to 60 of the family's 1533-position model. Lineage: Bacteria; Bacillati; Bacillota; Clostridia; Eubacteriales; Clostridiaceae. The record is from RNAcentral.
UUUAAAUUGAGAGUUUGAUCCUGGCUCAGGAUGAACGCUGGCGGCGUGCUUAACACAUGCAA